GAGUAAGUCUUGAACGACCAGCUCCCGCGAACCUCCCCAGGUGCGGAAGUAAGCAAGGAUAAGCGGUUGUAGCGGUGCGUCUCAAGGAGCUUGCUCCAU
Molecule: signal recognition particle RNA, 99 nt
Filed under: Bacteroidales bacterium
Lineage: Bacteria; Pseudomonadati; Bacteroidota; Bacteroidia; Bacteroidales
Description: signal recognition particle sRNA small type
Rfam family: Bacteroidales small SRP
About the family: The non-coding component of the signal recognition particle in Bacteroides
Source: RNAcentral